AUAGAAUACAUGGUUUGGAGACUCGAUGAAAGUACAAUAUAACUCAUUAACUAUGUUGGUUUCGGUUUAUGCAAGAAUUUGGGCCUAUCUCGUCACGUGUGUAUUGUAUUUUUCCCGCACAACCAAUAGCAAUGUUUAAAUUGAGCAUUUGUUCAAGUUACGGAUGGAUAUUAAACUCAACCACAAACUUGUUAUUGGUUAUUUGAGCGAAAAUACAAUACACACGUGACGAGAUAGGACCAAAUUCUUGCAUAAAGCUGGACAAUAACAUAGUUAAUGAGUUAUAUUGUACUUUCAUCGAGUCUCCAAACCAUCUAUUAAAAUAACUGUG
Non-coding RNA from Paramuricea clavata, 331 nucleotides. NCBI's taxonomy places the organism in Eukaryota, Metazoa, Cnidaria, Anthozoa, Malacalcyonacea, Plexauridae. The record is from the annotation of a GenBank genome assembly.